RNAcentral lists this long non-coding RNA (481 nucleotides) under Sarcophilus harrisii (Tasmanian devil). Its description in RNAcentral is "lncRNA (ENSSHAG00000025457.1)". Lineage: Eukaryota; Metazoa; Chordata; Mammalia; Dasyuromorphia; Dasyuridae. The record is from RNAcentral.
AUUCCCCCUCCUUCUUAUAACACAUAAGCAUGGUCAAGGAAAACAAAUUCUAGCAUUAGCCAGGUCUAAAAAUGCUUUGUGUUAUUCUGCUAUAUCCAGGAACUUGAUGAUGGGAGGGUCACUGUCAGCUUGCCUGGUUUCCUUCAGGAAUCAGUUUAAAUUUUCUCUUCUGCAAGAAACCUUUUCCAGUUCCUUUUAAUUAUUGUGCCUUCCAGCUAUGAUUACCUUCAAGCUAUUCUCAACAAUAAAUGGAAAAUCAACAUAACAAACAACCAAGGCCUGAUUUGAAACAUUUGCCUAUUUCUGGGAUAUAACUACUCACACUGAAAAUUUUACAAUCGGCUGUCAUGUCCUGGUUUAAGCUGGUUUCAGUACAUGUCUGCAACAUUAUCUCUCUUCACAGUAGAAAAAUGGAGAACUACUAAGACAGAAUGAGUAUUCAAGCCUUGAUUGCUACUUUGGGUGUUUUUGCUUAAUUACA